CAACCCUCGCACCCGACCGUCAAACCCUAUUACUGUUUCUCAACCCUCGCCCAUCAAUGCAACCCUCGUUGGCCCUCUGUCUCUGUCUCACCAUCAACGCAACCCUUGUUGGCCCUUCCUCAGCGCAGUGGUCUCUGUCUCUCGCAAACCCUGUUGCCCCUACUGUAUAAAGAUCUUUUUGCAUCUGGAUUACGCAAGAGAUCCAGCGUUCUUCUGUACGAUCUUCUUGGAACUGGCGGAACAUUAUUAGCAAAAGCUGUUGCUACUGAAUGUGUUAACUUGAUAUUGGGAUAAUAACAAGUUCAAAUGGAAGCAUGCUUGGUCAGAUGUGAGCAGCUGUAAUGUAACUAAAGAUCUUUUUACAAUUUUGAAAAAAAAAAGCUUUUAAUAGUUGUGUUUUCACUGCUGUUGCCGCUGCCACCUCUCUUGGUUUGCUUCUGCUGUGGUACUGCUGUUGCUGCUAGGGUACGGAUUUAGUUUCUACGGUGCUAGUUGACUACUAUCUUUAUUUUAGUUUAAUUUUAAAAAUUCAGACACCUUUUGUAGAGGCAACUACGUGAAUGUGAUCGUGGUUAUUUAUGUCCUAACCUCGUAUAACUUAUUAUACUUUUUAUAACUUACUUGUUUUGUAAUAGAACCUCUAUCAUUAGAGGUCAUGUGAUCGUGGUUCUCUAUGUCCUAACCUUGUAUAAUUUGUUAUUCAUGUUAUGUAUACUACUUAAUUUGUUAUUCAUGUUAUGUAUACUACUUUAAGCUUUCUCGAGGCGGUCACUUCAAGGCUUUCUUUAAAAAUUGCUAAAACUCAAUUUUCUUUGAUAUUUUUUGUUAGUUAUUUUUAAAGUAUUUUGGAGGUUGGGAAAACAUUGUCUCUUAUUAGUUACAUAGGAAGCUAGAUUUGCAGUUAGUG
Non-coding RNA from Arachis ipaensis, 907 nucleotides. NCBI's taxonomy places the organism in Eukaryota, Viridiplantae, Streptophyta, Magnoliopsida, Fabales, Fabaceae. The record is from RefSeq and is a predicted model, not a curated record.